This 1534-nucleotide ribosomal RNA is filed under the name metagenome. RNAcentral describes it as "bacterial SSU rRNA". It matches the Rfam family "Bacterial small subunit ribosomal RNA". The record is from RNAcentral.
AGAGUUUGAUCCUGGCUCAGAGCGAACGCUGGCGGCGUGGAUAAGGCAUGCAAGUCGAGCGAUCUUUCAAAGCAAUUUGACGGAUAGCGGCAAACGGGUGCGUAACGCGCAGGAAACCUACCCUAAUACACGGGAUAGCCCUUCGAAAGAGGGAGUAAUACCGUAUAUGCUCAUAGUAUCGCAUGAUACAUUGAGGAAAGGUGGCGAAGGCGAAAGCCUGCUAUUGUGUUAGAAGGGUCCUACGCCCCAUCAGCUUGUUGGUAGGGUAACGGCCUACCAAGGCUAUUGACGGGUAGCUGGCCUGAGAGGGUGGCCAGCCACACUGGGACUGAGACACUGCCCAGACUCCUACGGGAGGCUGCAGUCGAGGAUAUUUGGCAAUGGACGCAAGUCUGACCAUGCGACGCCGCGUGCGGGAUGAAGGCUUUCGGGUCGUAAACCGCUGUUACGAGGGAAGAAGAUUGGUGAUUCGAACAGGAUUGCUAAUUUGACGGUACCUCGAGAGAAAGCCACGGCUAACUCCGUGCCAGCAGCCGCGGUAAUACGGAGGUGGCAAGCGUUGCUCGGAUUUACUGGGUGUAAAGGGCACGUAGGCGGUUUUGUAAGCCUUAUCUGAAAGGCCAUGGCUUAACCAUGGUUCGUGGUAGGGUACUGCAAAACUCGAGGAUAGGAGAGGCAAGCGGAAUUCCCGGUGUAAGGGUGAAAUCUGUAGAUAUCGGGAGGAACACCAGUGGCGAAGGCGGCUUGCUAGCCUAUAUCUGACGCUCAUGUGCGAAAGCUAGGGGAGCAAACAGGAUUAGAUACCCUGGUAGUCCUAGCCGUAAACGAUGGACACUAGGUGUUGGUCCUUUUUAGGAUCAGUGCCGCAGCUAACGCGUUAAGUGUCCCACCUGAGGAGUACGGCCGCAAGGUUGAAACUCAAAGGAAUUGACGGGGGCCAGCACAAGCGGUGGAACAUGUGGUUUAAUUCGAUGCUACUCGAAGAACCUUACCCAGGCUUGACAUGUAGGAAGUAGGAACCUUAAAGGGGGACGACUCGUAACCAGUCGAGAACUUACACAGGAGCUGCAUGGCUGUCGUCAGCUCGUGCCGUGAGGUGUUGGCUUAAGUGCCAAAACGAGCGCAACCAUUGCUGAUAGUUGCCACCGGGACCCGAAAGGGUUGCCGAGCACUCUAUUGGGACUGCCAGCGAUGAGCUGGAGGAAGGUGGUGAUGACGUCAGGUCAGUAUGGCCCUUAUGCCUGGGGCUACACACGUGUUACAAUGGGAUAUACAGCGCGCAGCAAAUUCGUGAGAGCUAGCUAAUCGCUCAAAGUAUCCCCCAAUUCGGAUUGAAGGCUGCAACUCGCCUUCAUGAAGCCGGAAUCGCUAGUAAUGGCGGAUCAGCAAGCCGCCGUGAAUACGUUCCCUGGCCUUGUACACACCGCCCGUCAAGCGAUAGAAGCCGGGAGCACCCGAAGAUGGUGUACCAACCCGCAAGGGAGGAAGCUUUCGAAGGUGAGACUGGUGACUGGCGCUAAGUCGUAACAAGGUA